Molecule: ribosomal RNA, 863 nt
Filed under: uncultured bacterium
Lineage: Bacteria
Description: bacterial SSU rRNA
Rfam family: Bacterial small subunit ribosomal RNA
Source: RNAcentral
AUGCAAGUCGAACGGAUUUGAGGGGCUUGCUCCUCAAGUUAGUGGCGCACGGGUGAGUAACGCGUAGAUAAUCUGCCUGAUGAUUCGGGAUAACACUUCGAAAGGGGUGCUAAUACCGGAUAAGCCCACGUGGUCUUUGGAUCGUGCGGGAAAAGGGGGGGACCUUCGGGCCUUCUGUCAUCAGAUGAGUCUGCGUACCAUUAGCUAGUUGGUAGGGUAAUGGCCUACCAAGGCUACGAUGGUUAGCUGGUUUGAGAGAAUGAUCAGCCACACUGGAACUGAGACACGGUCCAGACUCCUACGGGAGGCAGCAGUGGGGAAUUUUGCGCAAUGGGCGAAAGCCUGACGCAGCAACGCCGCGUGAGUGAUGAAGGCUUUCGGGUCGUAAAGCUCUGUCGAGGGGAAAGAAGUGUACGGGGGCUAAUAUCCUCUGUACUUGACGGUACCCCUAAAGGAAGCACCGGCUAACUCCGUGCCAGCAGCCGCGGUAAUACGGGGGGUGCAAGCGUUGUUCGGAAUUAUUGGGCGUAAAGAGCGUGUAGGCGGUUUGUUAAGUCUGAUGUGAAAGCCCUGGGCUCAACCCAGGAAGUGCAUUGGAAACUGGCAGACUUGAAUACGGGAGAGGGCAGUGGAAUUCCUAGUGUAGGAGUGAAAUCCGUAGAUAUUAGGAGGAACACCGGUGGCGAAGGCGGCUGCCUGGACCGAUAUUGACGCUGAGACGCGAAAGCGUGGGUAGCAAACAGGAUUAGAUACCCUGGUAGUCCACGCCGUAAACGAUGAGAACUAGGUGUUGCGGGUAUUGACCCCUGCAGUGCCGCAGCUAACGCAUUAAGUUCUCCGCCUGGGAAGUACGGUCGCAAGAC